Molecule: ribosomal RNA, 497 nt
Filed under: uncultured bacterium
Lineage: Bacteria
Description: partial 16S ribosomal RNA
Rfam family: Bacterial small subunit ribosomal RNA
Source: RNAcentral
GAUGAACGCUGGCGGCGUGCCUAAUACAUGCAAGUCGAGCGAACGGACGAGAAGCUUGCUUCUCUGAUGUUAGCGGCGGACGGGUGAGUAACACGUGGAUAACCUACCUAUAAGACUGGGAUAACUUCAGGAAACCGGAGCUAAUACCGGAUAAUAUUUUGAACCGCAUGGUUCAAAAGUGAAAGACGGUCUUGCUGUCACUUAUAGAUGGAUCCGCGCUGCAUUAGCUAGUUGGUAAGGUAACGGCUUACCAAGGCAACGAUGCAUAGCCGACCUGAGAGGGUGAUCGGACACACUGGAACUGAGACACGGUCCAGACUCCUACGGGAGGCAGCAGUAGGGAAUCUUCCGCGAUGGGCGAAAGCCUGACGGAGCAACGCCGCGUGAGUGAUGAAGGUCUUCGGAUCGUAAAACUCUGUUAUUAGGGAAGAACAUAUGUGUAAGUAACUGUGCACAUCUUGACGGUACCUAAUCAGAAAGCCACGGCUAACUACGUG